RNAcentral lists this ribosomal RNA (2904 nucleotides) under Escherichia coli. RNAcentral's name for it is "23S ribosomal RNA". It matches the Rfam family "Bacterial large subunit ribosomal RNA". The record is from RNAcentral. Lineage: Bacteria; Pseudomonadati; Pseudomonadota; Gammaproteobacteria; Enterobacterales; Enterobacteriaceae.
GGUUAAGCGACUAAGCGUACACGGUGGAUGCCCUGGCAGUCAGAGGCGAUGAAGGACGUGCUAAUCUGCGAUAAGCGUCGGUAAGGUGAUAUGAACCGUUAUAACCGGCGAUUUCCGAAUGGGGAAACCCAGUGUGUUUCGACACACUAUCAUUAACUGAAUCCAUAGGUUAAUGAGGCGAACCGGGGGAACUGAAACAUCUAAGUACCCCGAGGAAAAGAAAUCAACCGAGAUUCCCCCAGUAGCGGCGAGCGAACGGGGAGCAGCCCAGAGCCUGAAUCAGUGUGUGUGUUAGUGGAAGCGUCUGGAAAGGCGCGCGAUACAGGGUGACAGCCCCGUACACAAAAAUGCACAUGCUGUGAGCUCGAUGAGUAGGGCGGGACACGUGGUAUCCUGUCUGAAUAUGGGGGGACCAUCCUCCAAGGCUAAAUACUCCUGACUGACCGAUAGUGAACCAGUACCGUGAGGGAAAGGCGAAAAGAACCCCGGCGAGGGGAGUGAAAAAGAACCUGAAACCGUGUACGUACAAGCAGUGGGAGCACGCUUAGGCGUGUGACUGCGUACCUUUUGUAUAAUGGGUCAGCGACUUAUAUUCUGUAGCAAGGUUAACCGAAUAGGGGAGCCGAAGGGAAACCGAGUCUUAACUGGGCGUUAAGUUGCAGGGUAUAGACCCGAAACCCGGUGAUCUAGCCAUGGGCAGGUUGAAGGUUGGGUAACACUAACUGGAGGACCGAACCGACUAAUGUUGAAAAAUUAGCGGAUGACUUGUGGCUGGGGGUGAAAGGCCAAUCAAACCGGGAGAUAGCUGGUUCUCCCCGAAAGCUAUUUAGGUAGCGCCUCGUGAAUUCAUCUCCGGGGGUAGAGCACUGUUUCGGCAAGGGGGUCAUCCCGACUUACCAACCCGAUGCAAACUGCGAAUACCGGAGAAUGUUAUCACGGGAGACACACGGCGGGUGCUAACGUCCGUCGUGAAGAGGGAAACAACCCAGACCGCCAGCUAAGGUCCCAAAGUCAUGGUUAAGUGGGAAACGAUGUGGGAAGGCCCAGACAGCCAGGAUGUUGGCUUAGAAGCAGCCAUCAUUUAAAGAAAGCGUAAUAGCUCACUGGUCGAGUCGGCCUGCGCGGAAGAUGUAACGGGGCUAAACCAUGCACCGAAGCUGCGGCAGCGACGCUGAUGCGUUGUUGGGUAGGGGAGCGUUCUGUAAGCCUGCGAAGGUGUGCUGUGAGGCAUGCUGGAGGUAUCAGAAGUGCGAAUGCUGACAUAAGUAACGAUAAAGCGGGUGAAAAGCCCGCUCGCCGGAAGACCAAGGGUUCCUGUCCAACGUUAAUCGGGGCAGGGUGAGUCGACCCCUAAGGCGAGGCCGAAAGGCGUAGUCGAUGGGAAACAGGUUAAUAUUCCUGUACUUGGUGUUACUGCGAAGGGGGGACGGAGAAGGCUAUGUUGGCCGGGCGACGGUUGUCCCGGUUUAAGCGUGUAGGCUGGUUUUCCAGGCAAAUCCGGAAAAUCAAGGCUGAGGCGUGAUGACGAGGCACUACGGUGCUGAAGCAACAAAUGCCCUGCUUCCAGGAAAAGCCUCUAAGCAUCAGGUAACAUCAAAUCGUACCCCAAACCGACACAGGUGGUCAGGUAGAGAAUACCAAGGCGCUUGAGAGAACUCGGGUGAAGGAACUAGGCAAAAUGGUGCCGUAACUUCGGGAGAAGGCACGCUGAUAUGUAGGUGAGGUCCCUCGCGGAUGGAGCUGAAAUCAGUCGAAGAUACCAGCUGGCUGCAACUGUUUAUUAAAAACACAGCACUGUGCAAACACGAAAGUGGACGUAUACGGUGUGACGCCUGCCCGGUGCCGGAAGGUUAAUUGAUGGGGUUAGCGCAAGCGAAGCUCUUGAUCGAAGCCCCGGUAAACGGCGGCCGUAACUAUAACGGUCCUAAGGUAGCGAAAUUCCUUGUCGGGUAAGUUCCGACCUGCACGAAUGGCGUAAUGAUGGCCAGGCUGUCUCCACCCGAGACUCAGUGAAAUUGAACUCGCUGUGAAGAUGCAGUGUACCCGCGGCAAGACGGAAAGACCCCGUGAACCUUUACUAUAGCUUGACACUGAACAUUGAGCCUUGAUGUGUAGGAUAGGUGGGAGGCUUUGAAGUGUGGACGCCAGUCUGCAUGGAGCCGACCUUGAAAUACCACCCUUUAAUGUUUGAUGUUCUAACGUUGACCCGUAAUCCGGGUUGCGGACAGUGUCUGGUGGGUAGUUUGACUGGGGCGGUCUCCUCCUAAAGAGUAACGGAGGAGCACGAAGGUUGGCUAAUCCUGGUCGGACAUCAGGAGGUUAGUGCAAUGGCAUAAGCCAGCUUGACUGCGAGCGUGACGGCGCGAGCAGGUGCGAAAGCAGGUCAUAGUGAUCCGGUGGUUCUGAAUGGAAGGGCCAUCGCUCAACGGAUAAAAGGUACUCCGGGGAUAACAGGCUGAUACCGCCCAAGAGUUCAUAUCGACGGCGGUGUUUGGCACCUCGAUGUCGGCUCAUCACAUCCUGGGGCUGAAGUAGGUCCCAAGGGUAUGGCUGUUCGCCAUUUAAAGUGGUACGCGAGCUGGGUUUAGAACGUCGUGAGACAGUUCGGUCCCUAUCUGCCGUGGGCGCUGGAGAACUGAGGGGGGCUGCUCCUAGUACGAGAGGACCGGAGUGGACGCAUCACUGGUGUUCGGGUUGUCAUGCCAAUGGCACUGCCCGGUAGCUAAAUGCGGAAGAGAUAAGUGCUGAAAGCAUCUAAGCACGAAACUUGCCCCGAGAUGAGUUCUCCCUGACUCCUUGAGAGUCCUGAAGGAACGUUGAAGACGACGACGUUGAUAGGCCGGGUGUGUAAGCGCAGCGAUGCGUUGAGCUAACCGGUACUAAUGAACCGUGAGGCUUAACCUU